GCAGUUAUAGCUUAAAGGUAAAGCCAAUCACUGUUAAUGAUUUGAUCUUGGUUCAAUUCCAGGUUACUGCU
This 71-nucleotide transfer RNA is filed under the name Zancudomyces culisetae. It matches the Rfam family "tRNA". Rfam says of the family: Transfer RNA (tRNA) molecules are approximately 80 nucleotides in length. Their secondary structure includes four short double-helical elements and three loops (D, anti-codon, and T loops). Lineage: Eukaryota; Fungi; Kickxellomycota; Harpellomycetes; Harpellales; Legeriomycetaceae. The record is from Rfam by way of RNAcentral.